GUUAUUUAAUCUUCAGGCAGCUUCGUGGUAUAUCAUGGUGUUGUUAUUCCUGCAUAAAAGGCCUUUGGAUUCUCUUAUGAUUAACAAAGUUGUAUCGUUACGUAAUGGUAUUGCAGUACUGUAGCUGUAGCAUCAUUGCUUCCUUAUAGUUUUAGUACUUUUAAACAUUACCCAGAUAGCAAGACGACAUUGAAUCUAUGUUGAUUUUUCAUCCGAACCGUCGUAUAUGGUCGGGGUUGAAAUGCCAAUGUUGUAACAACAUUGAAAUACUGUGGUAAACCGACGGUCUUACUAUAGAGACGUUGUAACGAUGUUGAUUCACCGUUGUUUUUUUGUCAUUGAUAUUUGAUCUAUUUAUAGUCGACCAGGUGACAACAACAACGUCAAGAAAACGUCUAUUUAUAGUUGACGAUCAUUCGGCUCCGGUCACCAUCAAAAACCAUCGAUUUGUAGUUGAGCAUUAAAUUGCACUGCAACUGAUCGGGUUUAAAGUACCAGAGAAAGUAGAUUUAUUGUUCAUUUGUUAUCAAUGACUUGGUCUAGUUCACCAGCUUUAAAAAAUCGUGUCUACGUGCAAUUUAUCUAUAGUUGACCGGGAAAUUAAAGCAGCGAUCACUUGGACUAUUCCGCAGCACCCCUCUCACAUUGGUACAUCCCCCCAGGUAUUCAUUGUCUUCUACAGUCGAGCGGGACAUUUGAUUUACUCUCAGCGGAAUUGACCGGAGAAGGCAUCAGUUCAUGCACUGCACUGGCCUGCACCACGAUUAGUAUAAGGCACAUUUCACGAAGCAGAACGCAGUCUUCAGAGAUAUCCACGUGAACGCUGUGAUACGUCUGACCUUCAGUCCGAAGAAGAAACCCAGACCAGUCUUAAAAGAAAGCACAAACCAAAUCCCCUGUACACAUAUACGGACUCAGAGGAUGAGCAGCCUACAAAAAACCGUUUUCCCCAGGCCCCUCGAGUGAAAAUACCAGCCCUCAUCACUCCGCAGUCUGCCCCCCAGCCCACUGAUAGCAACCAUCAUAAUGCCCCACCCAGCUUCCGGCACCUUUCGCUACUCCGGCACAAACCGACACAGCUUUGCGAUCUCGCCAGCAUGCAGAGUCUGAUGUCUUCCCUAUAG
RNAcentral lists this long non-coding RNA (1124 nucleotides) under Oreochromis niloticus (Nile tilapia). RNAcentral's name for it is "lncRNA (ENSONIG00000038470.1)". Lineage: Eukaryota; Metazoa; Chordata; Actinopteri; Cichliformes; Cichlidae. The record is from RNAcentral.